GGGAAGGAUGAGAAGCUUCGACUAAGGUUCGACUCGAGCGCCAGCGAGAGAACGUUGCCACAGGCAACGGCCCGAAGGGCGAGGCGCUUUAGCGCCGAGUAAUCCUUCCCCCACCACCA
Molecule: small RNA, 119 nt
Filed under: Klebsiella pneumoniae
Lineage: Bacteria; Pseudomonadati; Pseudomonadota; Gammaproteobacteria; Enterobacterales; Enterobacteriaceae
Also listed under: 1 other name
Description: RtT RNA
Rfam family: RtT RNA
About the family: This family represents a bacterial cis-regulatory element known as RtT RNA.
Source: RNAcentral